RNAcentral lists this ribosomal RNA (2904 nucleotides) under Enterobacter hormaechei. RNAcentral's name for it is "23S ribosomal RNA". It matches the Rfam family "Bacterial large subunit ribosomal RNA". Lineage: Bacteria; Pseudomonadati; Pseudomonadota; Gammaproteobacteria; Enterobacterales; Enterobacteriaceae. The record is from RNAcentral.
GGUUAAGCGACUAAGCGUACACGGUGGAUGCCCUGGCAGUCAGAGGCGAUGAAGGACGUGCUAAUCUGCGAAAAGCGACGGCGAGGUGAUAUGAACCUUUGACCCGUCGAUGUCCGAAUGGGGAAACCCAGUGUGUUUCGACACACUAUCGUUAACUGAAUACAUAGGUUAACGAGGCGAACCGGGGGAACUGAAACAUCUAAGUACCCCGAGGAAAAGAAAUCAACCGAGAUUCCCCCAGUAGCGGCGAGCGAACGGGGAGCAGCCCGGAGUCUGAAUCAGCUUGUGUGUUAGUGGAACGGUCUGGAAAGUCCGACGGUACAGGGUGAUAGUCCCGUACACGAAAAUGCACAUGCUGUGAACUCGAAGAGUAGGGCGGGACACGUGGUAUCCUGUCUGAAUAUGGGGGGACCAUCCUCCAAGGCUAAAUACUCCUGACUGACCGAUAGUGAACCAGUACCGUGAGGGAAAGGCGAAAAGAACCCCGGCGAGGGGAGUGAAAAAGAACCUGAAACCGUGUACGUACAAGCAGUGGGAGCCUCUUUAUGGGGUGACUGCGUACCUUUUGUAUAAUGGGUCAGCGACUUAUAUUCUGUAGCAAGGUUAACCGUAUAGGGGAGCCGAAGGGAAACCGAGUCUUAACUGGGCGUUAAGUUGCAGGGUAUAGACCCGAAACCCGGUGAUCUAGCCAUGGGCAGGUUGAAGGUUGGGUAACACUAACUGGAGGACCGAACCGACUAAUGUUGAAAAAUUAGCGGAUGACCUGUGGCUGGGGGUGAAAGGCCAAUCAAACCGGGAGAUAGCUGGUUCUCCCCGAAAGCUAUUUAGGUAGCGCCUCGUGAACUCAUCUUCGGGGGUAGAGCACUGUUUCGGCUAGGGGGCCAUCCCGGCUUACCAACCCGAUGCAAACUACGAAUACCGAAGAAUGUUAUCACGGGAGACACACGGCGGGUGCUAACGUCCGUCGUGAAGAGGGAAACAACCCAGACCGCCAGCUAAGGUCCCAAAGUCAUGGUUAAGUGGGAAACGAUGUGGGAAGGCACAGACAGCCAGGAUGUUGGCUUAGAAGCAGCCAUCAUUUAAAGAAAGCGUAAUAGCUCACUGGUCGAGUCGGCCUGCGCGGAAGAUGUAACGGGGCUAAACCAUGCACCGAAGCUGCGGCAGCGACACUAUGUGUUGUUGGGUAGGGGAGCGUUCUGUAAGCCGUUGAAGGUGUGCUGUGAGGCAUGCUGGAGGUAUCAGAAGUGCGAAUGCUGACAUAAGUAACGAUAAAGCGGGUGAAAAGCCCGCUCGCCGGAAGACCAAGGGUUCCUGUCCAACGUUAAUCGGGGCAGGGUGAGUCGACCCCUAAGGCGAGGCCGAAAGGCGUAGUCGAUGGGAAACAGGUUAAUAUUCCUGUACUUGGUGUUACUGCGAAGGGGGGACGGAGAAGGCUAUGUCAGCCGGGCGACGGUUGUCCCGGUUUAAGCAUGUAGGCGGAGGUUCCAGGUAAAUCCGGUACCUUUUAACGCUGAGGUGUGAUGACGAGGCACUACGGUGCUGAAGUGAUAAAUGCCCUGCUUCCAGGAAAAGCCUCUAAGCAUCAGGUAACACGAAAUCGUACCCCAAACCGACACAGGUGGUCAGGUAGAGAAUACCAAGGCGCUUGAGAGAACUCGGGUGAAGGAACUAGGCAAAAUGGUGCCGUAACUUCGGGAGAAGGCACGCUGAUAUGUAGGUGAAGCCCCUGCGGGCGGAGCUGAAAUCAGUCGAAGAUACCAGCUGGCUGCAACUGUUUAUUAAAAACACAGCACUGUGCAAACACGAAAGUGGACGUAUACGGUGUGACGCCUGCCCGGUGCCGGAAGGUUAAUUGAUGGGGUUAGCGGCAACGCGAAGCUCUUGAUCGAAGCCCCGGUAAACGGCGGCCGUAACUAUAACGGUCCUAAGGUAGCGAAAUUCCUUGUCGGGUAAGUUCCGACCUGCACGAAUGGCGUAAUGAUGGCCAGGCUGUCUCCACCCGAGACUCAGUGAAAUUGAACUCGCUGUGAAGAUGCAGUGUACCCGCGGCAAGACGGAAAGACCCCGUGAACCUUUACUAUAGCUUGACACUGAACACUGGUCCUUGAUGUGUAGGAUAGGUGGGAGGCUUUGAAGCGUGGACGCCAGUCUGCGUGGAGCCGUCCUUGAAAUACCACCCUUUAAUGGCUGGUGUUCUAACGUAGACCCGUGAUCCGGGUUGCGGACAGUGUCUGGUGGGUAGUUUGACUGGGGCGGUCUCCUCCCAAAGAGUAACGGAGGAGCACGAAGGUUGGCUAAUCCUGGUCGGACAUCAGGAGGUUAGUGCAAUGGCAUAAGCCAGCUUGACUGCGAGCGUGACGGCGCGAGCAGGUGCGAAAGCAGGUCAUAGUGAUCCGGUGGUUCUGAAUGGAAGGGCCAUCGCUCAACGGAUAAAAGGUACUCCGGGGAUAACAGGCUGAUACCGCCCAAGAGUUCAUAUCGACGGCGGUGUUUGGCACCUCGAUGUCGGCUCAUCACAUCCUGGGGCUGAAGUAGGUCCCAAGGGUAUGGCUGUUCGCCAUUUAAAGUGGUACGCGAGCUGGGUUUAGAACGUCGUGAGACAGUUCGGUCCCUAUCUGCCGUGGGCGCUGGAGAAUUGAGGGGGGCUGCUCCUAGUACGAGAGGACCGGAGUGGACGCAUCACUGGUGUUCGGGUUGUCAUGCCAAUGGCACUGCCCGGUAGCUAAAUGCGGAAGAGAUAAGUGCUGAAAGCAUCUAAGCACGAAACUUGCCCCGAGAUGAGUUCUCCCUGAGACCUUGAGUCUCCUGAAGGAACGUUGAAGACGACGACGUUGAUAGGUCGGGUGUGUAAGCGCAGCGAUGCGUUGAGCUAACCGAUACUAAUGAACCGUGAGGCUUAACCUU